UAUUUCCAGGCGAGAAUACACGGAGGAUCCUAAACUCUGGCGGUGGAAAUCAGAGUUCAUCGCCGCCUCCUGAAGGUGGAAUCCAAAGGCCUUUUUAUCAUCGUCAUAACCGUCAUCACGAUGCUUAUCCCAUCAUCAUUCGGAGUCCUUCAGAUCCAUCUGGGAUGUUUAAGGGCGGGGCAAUCUCUUCAACCGCUUGCAGUCUGAAGUCAACCCUCGAUCAUAAACAUGAGAUGCUCUGCCUAGAAGUCCCACCGCGUCAAUGGGGGAGGAAAGGAGUGAUUAAUCGGUUCCAGAUGAAAGGGGAAAUACUCCAAUCUGGCCAUUGCCCAAGAUCGAAUCCAAAGCAGCCCAUCUGAGUUUCCGUCAAACUCGAUUCUUCAAACGAGAUCAAAAGUGGUCCGCAGGCAUCCAUUUUUUUUUAUACCAAAACUGGGUUGCUGAUUAUUUGAUUUCUCCGUUUGUAGAUGCUUCAAGAUGCUCCGUGUUCAUCUGGAAACAUUUCUUCGAGUCUAUGCUUUCUGUUUCUCUCAUCGCAUUUCUUCGUGUUCAUCUUUUUUUUUUGCCUGUCGAAGGGAGGAUUCUUGGAUUUUCUGCGGAAUUAUACAGCCUGUAUGAUUUCCUUGAAAUUUUUUCUCUUAUUUACAUGAUUCUCCAAAGACUACGAUCAUCGAAACAAAGCAGAAUCGUUUUGAGCAAAAUCAAGACCGGUAGCUCCCAUCCUUCUGGAAGCUACCGAUCUUGAGCUCUGGGAAUGAGCUUUUCUUUCUUGGGCAUUAAAGAUUUUGCUCGAAUCAUUGGCUCUUAGUUCCCCCACAAGGUUUAUCGGUGUGUAAGGUUUAUUUUAUGGCCUAGAGGAUCAAAAUGAGUAGCUAGGCAGGUUGACUCAGCAAAAGCGUAGUGGAAGUAUGAUUGUCGGGUCAACCCAUGUACCAGGUGGGUUGAACCAGACACAAGAAUAUGUUUCAAAAGUGGCCAGAUGGGUCAACCCAGCGAGGUAAAACACCAUGCGCUCGUUCCUAUUCUCCUUCAAAUAUGACACAAAAUAUAUUCACGGGUUCUCCAUCUGCAAGACUGGCUGGUG
Molecule: long non-coding RNA, 1084 nt
Filed under: Spirodela polyrhiza (greater duckweed)
Lineage: Eukaryota; Viridiplantae; Streptophyta; Magnoliopsida; Alismatales; Araceae
Description: long non-coding RNA (SPOL_LNC000675)
Source: RNAcentral